CCCCGAGAUGAGUUCUCCCUGAGACUUAGAGUCUCCUGAAGGAACGUUGAAGACGACAACGUUGAUAGGCCGGGUGUGUAAGCGCAGCGAUGCGUUGAGCUAACCGGUACUAAUGAACCGUGAGGCUUAACCUU
Molecule: ribosomal RNA, 134 nt
Filed under: Salmonella enterica
Lineage: Bacteria; Pseudomonadati; Pseudomonadota; Gammaproteobacteria; Enterobacterales; Enterobacteriaceae
Also listed under: 1 other name
Description: partial 23S ribosomal RNA
Rfam family: Bacterial large subunit ribosomal RNA
Source: RNAcentral